UACGUAGGUGACAAGCGUUGUCCGGAUUUACUGGGCGUAAAGAGCGCGCAGGCGGUCGAUCAAGUCGAGUGUGAAAGCCCCCGGCUCAACUGGGGAGGGUCACGCGAUACUGAUCGACUCGAAGGCAGGAGAGGGUAGUGGAAUUCCCGGUGUAGUGGUGAAAUGCGUAGAUAUCGGGAGGAACACCAGUGGCGAAGGCGACUACCUGGCCUGUUCUUGACGCUGAGGCGCGAAAGCUAGGGGAGCAAACGGG
Molecule: ribosomal RNA, 253 nt
Filed under: uncultured bacterium
Lineage: Bacteria
Description: partial 16S ribosomal RNA
Rfam family: Bacterial small subunit ribosomal RNA
Source: RNAcentral